Molecule: non-coding RNA, 778 nt
Organism: Oryza sativa Japonica Group (Japanese rice)
Lineage: Eukaryota; Viridiplantae; Streptophyta; Magnoliopsida; Poales; Poaceae
Source: RefSeq, a predicted model, not a curated record
GCCGCUUCACCCAUCACUACUCCUCACUCUCAAACCGAAGAAGCCGAGGGAGAAGGCUCUCUGCUCCUCCGGCGCUCUCAAUCUCGUAACCGGCCGCGAAGAAGAAGGACGGCAGCAAUCGUCGUCGAGCCGCGGUCAUCUCCUCCCUUCAUGCGUUCCCUUGUCUACUCAGGAUGCCGGCUUCAUUCCUCUAAGUUUCAUCCCAUUUGGUGCAGCGGAUCGUCGGGAACGCGGACCUCACCAUCGUUGCUCCGGAGCGCGCACCGAGUGCCGCCGUCGGGUUCUCGUCGUCGUUCCGACCGCUGUAGACCAAGCCAAGCCGAGCCGUCGCGCCAACAUAUUCUCCUUGAAGUCCUCCUCAAAACCCUUCAAGAAUCCCAGGCAAUGGCGCAGCAAGUGCGGAGAUCGGCCACCGUCUUCUUCACCUCCGGUCGCCGUCGCCAUUGUCGAUUCCGCCUCCUCCGUUCUUGGAGCCGAUUGAGCCGUCGCCGUUCACCCCGGAGGUUCUUGCCGCCGCCGAGCCGUUACACGAGCCGCCGUCGUCAACCUAGCUUCGCCAGCCUUGUUUUACAUCUCGGACUUGAACUUAAUGGGGUAAACCCCUAGUCGGUGUGCUUGAGGAUUGGGUAGUCAAGCUUCCGUUGUUCUAUAAACUAUAUUCGGCUAGUCGGCCUAUGUAACUAUGAAAUAGUUGUGAUUUAGAUCAUUGGCUAGUCGGCCUAUGUAACUAUGAAAUAGUUGUGAUUUAGAUCAUUUUCGUCUUAAGUGUAUUUUGCUA